UACGAAGGUCCCAAGCGUUAUCCGGAUUCAUUGGGUUUAAAGGGAGCGUAGGUGGUCUUCUAAGUCAGUGGUGAAAUCUCUCGGCUUAACUGAGAAAUUGCCAUUGAUACUGGGAGACUUGAGUGUAGUUGCCGUUGGCGGAAUAUGACAUGUAGUGGUGAAAUACAUAGAGAUGUCAUAGAACACCGAUUGCGAAGGCAGCUAACGAAACUAUAACUGACACUGAGGCUCGAAAGUGCGGGGAUCAAACAGG
This 253-nucleotide ribosomal RNA is filed under the name uncultured bacterium. Its description in RNAcentral is "partial 16S ribosomal RNA". It matches the Rfam family "Bacterial small subunit ribosomal RNA", at positions 524 to 776 of the family's 1533-position model. The record is from RNAcentral.